This 255-nucleotide ribosomal RNA is filed under the name uncultured bacterium. RNAcentral describes it as "partial 16S ribosomal RNA". It matches the Rfam family "Bacterial small subunit ribosomal RNA", at positions 524 to 776 of the family's 1533-position model. The record is from RNAcentral.
UACGAGGGGGCGAGCGUUGUUCGGAAUUAUUGGGCGUAAAGGGUGCGUAGGCGGUUUGGUAAGUCUCGUGUGAAAUCUCCGGGCUCAACUCGGAGCCUGCACGAGAAACUGCCGGGCUUGAGUGUGGGGAGUGGUAGUAGGUGAAUUCCUGGUGUAGCGGUGAAAUGCGUAGAUAUCAGGAGGAACACCUGUGGCGAAAGCGGCUCACUGGACCAUAACUGACGCUGAUGCACGAAAGCUAGGGGAGCAAACAGG